CUCCAGCCGGCGGGUGCCCGCGGCGCCAGCUUUUCCGGCUUCCAGUUGCCAGGGGGCGCUGCGACACAAUAGCCCGUGCCCGGAGGGGCGGCGGCCGCGUGAGCAGGGAGCCGCGCGCCGGGUAGUGGGGACCACCGGGUGGAGCCCGGGACAGCUGUGAGUCCGCUCGAGCGGCUUUCCUUCCUCCACCGCCUCCUCCUCUCGCUCUCCGCGGGCCUCACGGUGGGGCUGCCGCGGCGACGGCGACUGAAGUCCAGGCGCCGUUAUCUGUAGCCUCCUGGCGACCGUGACAAGCAGGCGCGUGAGUUUCCUGGGCACCAGGAGCCUUGGGAGGAGACACUUCACUCCUUUCCCGCAACCCAGAGAAGCAGGGACUUGGUCUCAGCCUUUCUCGCAGCUCUGAGAGGUGCUGUUACGUCCAGUUGCACCUCCCCACCGCCCUUGGAGAGAAUGUAGAGUGCCCCGCCUCCUGCAGGUAACAAAGGAUCAGGGCGUUCUCUGUGAAAUAACUGCAGAAUAUGAACUGAUGCUGCUGGCAUUUCCCUUGGAGUUUUACUGCAGCUGUCAGUAUUCCGAAUUCCGGAUGACUCGGUUACUUACAAGAUUGGAUUUCUUAUCCUGCAAAGCUGAGGUGAAGGCCAGACCCUAGAAAAACAGAAAAUUCAUCAAGGCUCAGUUCAAGAACCACCCCCUCCAAGUUGUCUUCCUGGAUUUAUUCAGCCCAAAGUUAUCCUUGUCUUUCCUGGGACAUGUCAGCAUUCUGGACAGAAGAAACCAACAAGCAAUGGAGAGGCCACAUCAAGCAGCUAGAAUCUCUGCAGCCCAGUGUUCUGUUUGAUGGGCUUCUAGGGGCUGUUCAAAGGGAGAUACCAGCAGCCUGGAAAUUCCAAAUGGAAGGCAAUGAUCAUGGGCAGUUGAUGCCUUCUCCAGGGUGGUGACAGUGGUGUUUUUGCCAGAGCAGCACCAACGGAUCCCUCAAGACUUUGUUAUGGAUUUUGUCUCUGGGAACACAGACUCUGCUUUUCAAGAUGAUUCUCUCUCUACCAUUGUAUUGGUUCCUCCUCCUGGGCUCAGCAGCCUGGAAAUAGAAACAGCAGUGGUGGCUGAUUGUCUUGAUCCAGACGGAAGUUGUGUGGCAGGAGAUAUUUCAGACCUAAAGAAGAUAUGUAAAACAUUAUAAUAAAUUCCCAUGUGCCCACAACUCAGCUUAAGAAAUAAAAUAUUACAGAUACAGUUGAAGCCCCCUGUGUACCCACACAUUAUAGUUCUUCUCUUUUCCUAACACUGCCUCCUUUUGACUGACAGCCUUCAAAGAUACCCUCAAUGAACCCCAUCUUCUGGUAUUCAUGCCCUCCCCUCAAGUGUGGGCUGGACUUAGUGACUUGAUUCUAAUGAAUAGAAUGUGAUAAGGUGAUGAGAUGUCACUUCUGUGAUUAGGUUACAAAAGAUUGUGACUUCCAUCCUGCUGGCACUCUCUCUUGCCCUCUCACUUGCUCUGAUGAAGCCUGCUACCAUGUUGUGAGAUACUUUAUGGGGAGACCCACAUGGCAAAGAUUCAAGGGAGGCCUCCAGCCAACAGCUUAUGAGGAAUUAAUCCUUAGUCCAACAGCCUGGGAAAAACUGAAUCCUGCCAACAACUAUGUGAGUGAACUUGGAAGUAGGUCCUCCCCAUUAGAGCCUUCAGAAAAGACUGCAUCCCUGGCCAACACCUUGAUUGCAGCCUUGUUAAAGGCCCUGAAGCAGAAGACCCAGCUAAGCCAUGCUUGGAUUCCUGAAAAUGUAUGUUUUAAGCAGCUAAGUUUGGGGGUAAUUUGUUAUACCACAUGAUAACUAAUACACCUUCUGAGACGUAACCACUAUCCUAAAUGUGCUGUCAUUCCUGUACAUGUCUUUAUAUAUAUGCUACAUUUGUAUGCAUCAUUCCCAUGCAUGCCUACACACACACACAUGCACACACUCAC
Long non-coding RNA from Equus asinus (donkey), 1961 nucleotides. The record is from Ensembl. Lineage: Eukaryota; Metazoa; Chordata; Mammalia; Perissodactyla; Equidae.